Molecule: non-coding RNA, 174 nt
Organism: Cricetulus griseus (Chinese hamster)
Lineage: Eukaryota; Metazoa; Chordata; Mammalia; Rodentia; Cricetidae
Source: RefSeq, a predicted model, not a curated record
AAAAGGCCGCGCAUGUUAUUCAACACUGCUUGGAGACCUGGGGUGCCUGGGGAAAGCCUCAUAUCCUAAAGUUGCUCAAGUACUUUAUGUAUGCUUGUUUUAAAAUGUUCUAUUUCCUGUUAUGGCCAUUUUGUAGCUGGUCACAUGACUGACGGUAGCCAUUUUGCUAAAGUU